UUAGAUGCGAGAGUAGAGCAUAUCAAUAAGCGGAGGAAAAGAAACUAACAAGGAUUCCCUUAGUAACGGCGAGUGAAGCGGGAAGAGCUCAAAUUUGAAAUCUUCAAGGUUUUACCUUGACGAAUUGUAGUUUAAAGAAGUGUUUUCUGUUAGAGAGGUGGUAAAAGUUCUUUGGAAUAGGACAUCAUAGAGGGUGAGAAUCCCGUAUUUGAUCACUUUCUACUAACGUUGUGAUACACUUUCAAAGAGUCGGAUUGUUUGGGAAUGCAGUCCAAAAUGGGUGGUAAAUUUCAUCUAAAGCUAAAUAUUGGCGAGACCGAUAGCGAACAAGUACCGUGAGGGAAAGAUGAAAAGAACUUUGAAAGAGAGAGUUAAACAGUACGUGAAAUUGUCAAAGGGGAAGCGUUUGACACCAGUGUUGUUUUCUCGAAAAUCAAUUAAAAAAAGUUGGAUUUUGUGUUGUAUUGACCUUAACAGCUUCCUUCUCUCUUCACGAAACUUUUGUAAUGCACUUUUCGGUUAACAAGUCAACAUCAAUUUCUUUUGUUGUAAAAGAGUAUUCGGAAGGUGGCUUUCUUUUCGGAGAAAGUGAUUAUAGCCCUAUACUUCUACAAUCGGAGAGAUUGAGGUCUGCAGCGUAGAUCCUUCGGGGUUAGAUACAUUUGUGCUAAGUUAUAGCCUUUCAUAGACAACUUGUUGACUAUGAUCAGUCAUGUAGCUUACUCGCUUAUGCUAUUUUACCUACGCUUAGGAUGUUGAGCGCAUGUCUCUCUCU
RNAcentral lists this ribosomal RNA (775 nucleotides) under uncultured Neocallimastigales. RNAcentral describes it as "partial large subunit ribosomal RNA". It matches the Rfam family "Eukaryotic large subunit ribosomal RNA", at positions 21 to 616 of the family's 3401-position model. Lineage: Eukaryota; Fungi; Neocallimastigomycota; Neocallimastigomycetes; Neocallimastigales. The record is from RNAcentral.